AUUGAACGCUGGCGGCAGGCCUAACACAUGCAAGUCGAGCGGAUGAAGGGAGCUUGCUCCUGGAUUCAGCGGCGGACGGGUGAGUAAUGCCUAGGAAUCUGCCUGGUAGUGGGGGAUAACGUCCGGAAACGGGCGCUAAUACCGCAUACGUCCUGAGGGAGAAAGUGGGGGAUCUUCGGACCUCACGCUAUCAGAUGAGCCUAGGUCGGAUUAGCUAGUUGGUGGGGUAAAGGCCUACCAAGGCGACGAUCCGUAACUGGUCUGAGAGGAUGAUCAGCCACCUUGAAACUGAGACCGGUCCCGGCUCCCUCGGGAAGGCGCCGUGGGGAAUAUUUGGACAUGGGCGGAAAGCUUGUCCAGGCCUGGCGCGGGGGUGGAAGAAGUCUUCCGGUUUUUAAGCACUUUAAGUUGGGAGGAAGGGCAGUAAGUUAAUACCUUGCUGUUUUGACGUUACCAACAGAAUAAGCACCGGCUAACUUCGUG
Molecule: ribosomal RNA, 483 nt
Filed under: uncultured bacterium
Lineage: Bacteria
Description: partial 16S ribosomal RNA
Rfam family: Bacterial small subunit ribosomal RNA
Source: RNAcentral